Molecule: long non-coding RNA, 931 nt
Organism: Venturia canescens
Lineage: Eukaryota; Metazoa; Arthropoda; Insecta; Hymenoptera; Ichneumonidae
Exons: 3
Source: RefSeq, a predicted model, not a curated record
CUCCAGCUGCAACCAAAAAAAGCUUGAAAAUGGCAACGAUUCAUAAUUUAAACGUAAAAGCGACGAAAACACUUCGCUAAUUACUCUCGACAUGAGCGUCAACGCUUCUUUUUUCUCUUCAAAUAUUUCCGGGCCCCCGUUUUUUGAACGUUGCGCGUUCGUUAUCAAGUUUCGGAGUGUGACCAUGAGACAAUGAUGGAAAAAUUACAUCCUCGCUCAACCUUUUUUAUUCAGUGAGUCUACUCACUACAGCUAGGAAUAAACGAAACACGUCGACUCACCAAUUUCAUCCGAUACGUUUUUCGGCUCGAUCAGUACUGUUCGAUACUGAAAAUGAAGAUAAAUUCAUUCGGUGGGAUUUUCACACGUGAGACGUUGACGUUCGAGUCUGAGAAGAAAAAAUGGACACAGCGAUGAAUUCGUUUUGUUGGGAGAGGAGAGAAGCGAACGGAACUCACUUGGUGCGUGCACGCCUGUACCAGAUUCGGUGGGAAGAUGUUUCUGCAAAGUAGAUUCGAUAGAAGAUUAGACGGCGUUGGAAGCUCGACCGAAACUUUUAUCGAUAUAACCUCGAGAGCUCGAGUGUUUAGACCAUUUUACAGGGACAGAAACAGCGUUGAAACGGUGGAACGAUGAAUAGGGACGAUAAGAAAUUAUCAGUACGAAAGAGAAAAAACUUGAAAUCUUUUUGCUCUCUAUCACUAGUCUCCAGAGUAAUUAUAGAGCCAAUAAAUAUUUUGCUAUUUACCAAGAAGCAAUUGCAUGUUUUGAACACGCAACAAAAUAAUCGAAAUUAGAUUUGUUCGUUUAAAAUUCUGUCAUUUGCCAAAGGAUCGGUUUGAAAAUUUGUUCAAAGUAAAAUCUGGUCGCCACUCUCGACCCCAUUUCGCUUCUUAACCGUUUAUUAAUUAUCGAAAAUCUUACCUGAUUA